AGCUAGCCAUAACACCAGGUUUUAUUCACCAUUUUCUACAUAAGAAAAUACCUGUACCAAGUCAGGAAUAUGACAGUUGUUUUCCAUUCGUUUGAUGUGUUUGAGCUUUUUGAUUUUGCCAUUUGAUAAGGAACUUUCCGAUUUUAAUUUUCCUUGGAGUUCGGUAUGUUUGCUAUUUUACAUUUUAAAUGAACUUAUUACAAAAGGUUACCAAUUCAACACUGUAAUUAGAUCUUUGAAUAUUUUUUUGAUUGGUAUACAUAUUGGUUGUGUUAUCAGUAAAUUAUAACACUACUAAAUAGCAUUGUUAUGCACCACUAUCCCGGCAGGUUAGAGGAGGGUUGACCGCUCACAAACAUGUUUAACCACGUCACAUUCUUUAUGUGCCUGUCCUAAGUCAGGAGCCUGUAGUUCAGUGGUUGUCGUUGAUUCCUGUCUGUCAUAUUUGUUUUUCGUAAAUUGUUUUGUUUUAAAUUAGGCCUUGAAUUGUUUCAUAUUUUCCAUGUCGAGGCCUUUUAAAGCCGACUAUACGGUAUGGUUUUAUCUCAUUGUUGAAGGACUUACAGGUCCUAAUAUUUGCUGAAAUCCACUUCAUUUUUGGUGGAUAGUUGUCUCAUUAGCAACCACAUCUUCUUAUUUUUAUAUUAAAGAUUUUUAUUCACGAGUUUUCUAGUUGUUUCGUUAUCUCUCAAGCAAUGGAAAGGAAGAACAAUGUACACAUGUUAUUAUUAUGAUCAAUAUUACUCAUAUAUUAAACUUUGUCGUACAGUAACAACACAUCAUGCUAGCUUGCUUGAAAAAUGUUCUUAUUGAUUUGACAAAGUCAUAUUUGUCAAGAGAGAGGUGGAAGAUGCGAAAUGGACUUCAAACUCAUUGAAAAUAAGUUGAAAAUAAACUGACAACAGC
This 906-nucleotide long non-coding RNA is filed under the name Mytilus galloprovincialis (Mediterranean mussel). The record is from RNAcentral. Lineage: Eukaryota; Metazoa; Mollusca; Bivalvia; Mytilida; Mytilidae.